RNAcentral lists this long non-coding RNA (595 nucleotides) under Salmo salar (Atlantic salmon). Its description in RNAcentral is "lncRNA (ENSSSAG00000087370.1, ENSSSAG00000109087.1)". The record is from RNAcentral. Lineage: Eukaryota; Metazoa; Chordata; Actinopteri; Salmoniformes; Salmonidae.
GGAGAUGGAAAGCAGACAGUUGCAGGGAUCAGGACACACCAUGUUCCUCUGGUACAGGGCUUCUAGGUCUGAUUGUCUGGGUACAGAGCUCUGAGUAGAGGGCUCUGGGUCUGGGUGUCUGGGUAGAGGGCUCUGGGUCUGGGUGUCUGGUUAGAGGGCUCUGGGUCCGGGUGUCUGGGUAGAGGGCUCUGGGUCCGGGUGUCUGGGUAGAGGGCUCUGGGUCUGGGUGUCUGGGCAGAGGGCUCUGGGUUUGGAUGUCUGGGUAGAGGACUCUGGGUCUGGGUGUCUGGGUAGAGGGCUCUGGGUCUGGGUGUCUGGGCAGAGGGCUCUGGGUUUGGAUGUCUGGGUAGAGGACUCUGGGUCUGGGUGUCUGGGUAGAGGGCUCUGGGUUUAGGUGUCUGGGCAGAGGGCUCUGGGUUUGGGUACAGGGCUCUGGGUCUGGGUGUCUGGGUAGAGGGCUCUGGGUCUGAUUGUCUGGGUACAGGGCUCUGGGUUUGGGUACAGGGCUCUGGGUCUGGGUACAUGGGUCUGGGUGUCUGGGUAGAGGGCUCUGGGUUUGGGUACAGGGCUCUGGGUCUGGGUGUCUGGGUAGAGG